This 73-nucleotide transfer RNA is filed under the name Actinoplanes awajinensis subsp. mycoplanecinus. It matches the Rfam family "tRNA". Rfam says of the family: Transfer RNA (tRNA) molecules are approximately 80 nucleotides in length. Lineage: Bacteria; Bacillati; Actinomycetota; Actinomycetes; Micromonosporales; Micromonosporaceae. The record is from Rfam by way of RNAcentral.
CGGGAUGUGGCGCAGUGGGUAGCGCGCGUGCUCGGGGAGCACGAGGCCGCCGGUUCGAGCCCGGCCAUCCCGA